CAGCUGGAUCGUCCCCUGCUAACUAGCUGAAACUUCUAACCUUUGCUUUUCAAUAAAUAAAAACACGGGGGGAUAAAUAUUAUUUGUUUGUAUGAAUAUAGUCCUAAAAAUAUAAGGCACAGGUAUAUGGGAGUGUAUAAAAUGAGCAUUACUUGAAGUAGAGAUGCGCCACAGUAGAAAUUUUUUUUCACUGCUCUGUGGUUUUGGAAGGCAGACUGAAAGAAAAAUGAGAGGUUUCCAGAAAAAACAGAGCAUUGAGCCAAACUAAGCAAAAUACUUAAAGUGAGCAAAGCAAAGCAAGAGUCCGCUAACAGUUUGUAGCAAGAGACUGUAUUUUCUUUUCCAGCCUCCUACCCCAGGAACUUUGUCUUGACAUCAAACAAAAAACAAUAGGAAUCAACAGAUUGGUGGAGGAGUGAGAGAACAAAUAUUUAAAGAAGAUUCAGGAGCUCUCUUUUGUUUUCUUUUUUUCUUUUUUUCUUCCUGUGAUGUUUGUGCAGUCUGAAAUGAAGGUGGAGAAAAAGUUCAGCUUUCCCAUUGCAAGAAUUUCCAUAGCUCCUUUCCUGCUGAGUAAGCCCUCACAGUUCACUUUCACAGAUGAGCUCUGCAUCCCAGCUUUAAUAUUAAAACCUUGAGCUGUGUGUCUGUCAACUUCCACAUUAUUCCACCUCUCCUCACUGUGAAGAACAGUUCUGCAGGGGACACCAAAUGGACUAAGCUUCUGAGUCAGAUUUCCAGCCUCUGAAGAAGUUAACUGAUAUUUGAAGCUGAAAUUUAUUUCCUGGGCAGAGUACCAGCACAGGGCCCAUCUGCCACGUAUGUCCAAUCUCUGUGAGGGUCAUAGGAAUGUGAAGAAAUUGUUGGCUCCCUGUGCUUGUGGGAGUGUAAGAGUGUCAUUGGUGGCUUGCAGACUGCUUUUGCAUCAGAAAAAUUCAUUCAUCUCAAAAUGUUUUUAUGCAAAAUAAAAGAAGAAUGCCUCAGUUUCAGAAAAAUUACCUGAAGAAUGCAGCAUUCUGCAGAGAUGACGUGUAGAGCAUGUUUUGUGGGAAGGCCAAAAUAAUUCUCUUCUCCUGAUUCUUGUUGGUUUUUUCAAAGCUAAUAAAAUAGGGAGUCUGGGAUCAUGGAAUUAUAGAAUAACAGAGUCAUAGAACCAUCGAAUGGCUUGAGUUGGAAGGGACCUUAAAGACCACCCAGUUCCAGGGCAGGGUUGCCACCCACCAGCUCAGGCUGCCCAGGGCCCCAUGCAACCUCGCCUUGAGCACCUCCAGGGACGGAGGACCCACAGCUCUCUGGGCAGCCUGUGCCAGUGCCUCACAACUGUCUGAAUAAAAAAUACCCUCCUAAUAUCUAAUCAAAAUCUCUCCUCUUUUAGUUAAAAACCAUUUUCCCUUGCUCUAUUACUAUAUGCCCUUAUAAAAAGUGGGUCUCCCUCCCUUUCAAUACUGGAAAACUGCAGGAGGUCUCCCCAGAGCCUUCUCUUCUCCAGAUUUCUUCUUCAAUUAUAAAAGUAAAUGAUGAGUGUAUAAAUGAGAAGCACUCUUCACAGUUACACACCUGGAGAGGUCAGGAUGAUGGCUUUCCAAUGGACAAAGUAUAUUAAAGAUAGUGGCAUUAUCCAUGUCAUCUUCCCCAGUUUAGAAUAUACCACCCUUAAAGAAGACAUUUGUCAGGAUACUGAAACCAGGAAUAGGCCUUACUGGUAACCAGCCUCCAGCACCUUCUUCACCAUCUGCGGGUUAAUGAGUCCCAUUUCAGCACAGCCAGGGGCCACCAGUCUUUUCCUGACUUUUGCACAGUGCAACUUUGUCUGCACUCAUGACUGGGCUCUCCAGAAAGACCCUGGGUCUGAUUUGUCCCUUGCUGUGUCUCUGACUAUCAGUGGAACCCACUACCAGCACCUGCCUCUACCUGCUGUGCUGCAGUCCUACCUUUCCGGAGACGUUUAUUAGACUAUCUUUACAUAAUUUGUGAUUUCUUUGUUUGAAUGUGGAAGAAAAAUAAAAGUGAAUAAAACCAGAGUGGCAGGUUCCAGGCUUGAACACAGCAGUUACAUCUCAAAAUAUUUUAUUUCAGUUGAAUAAGAAAGUGAGGGGGUUUCUGUAAACAAGCAAAGUGGUCAUAUGUAGGGAAUUAAAACUUCAUUUGCUUAGAUAUCACAUCUCAGAUGGGCUACAGAAGUGAACACACAUACUGAAGACUCCCACAGCACCCAGAAUCGAAAAGACAUUAUCCUUUGUGUUCUGGAGAAAUUCAGCACUGUGCAACUAUAUCCUCAUGAAUUAAAGUGCACUGUAUUUCUGCUUGUUAUGGAACCUCUGUCAUCCCAUUACACACAUCUCUGUGUUCUGUCAAGUUAACUUCAAUAUUCUGCUUCAGUAAGAAGUUCAGGAAGUCCUAAAGAACCCAAGUAAUUCAGAACAAUGUCACUGGAUCUAUUUGUUUAAGAUCUAUAUCCACAUACAGAUCUAUUUAUUUAUAUCUAUUUAAGCCAGUGUCUGGGUGAGUUGAUUUUCCCUGCCAACCUGCAGCUUAUUUCCAAAGAGAUCAGCAUGUCUGGAUGACAAAAGGAAGCGUGAAUGGACGGUUGUUAAGCUUGUGUCACUAGAAUUGAGGUGACAGGCCCAUGGGUGCUGUCAGCUAGGUAUGUCUAUCAGUUAAGGCCUCUGCAGUCUCAGAGGGAGUCUGUCUUCAGAGCAAAACUAACAGAAUCUGUAAUGAUUAAGCCUCUGCGUUUGUAGGGGUUGACCCAAGGCAAAGCUCCACCCUUACAGAAAUAAAACUUCAUGAUGCUUUGCGCUAUGCUUGGCUCCUCAGUCACAAGUGGCUUCACCUUACAAAUGAAUGCUAUCAUACAACUUCCAGCUGAGAAAAGUAAAUAUAAACGUGGGACCCCCUUCACGUCCAUUUCGUUGCCAUAAAAGCAGCAAUCACACAUCAGAGAUGGAAUUUGUGCAAAGCCUUUCUCAUUAACUUAGCAAUUGUAGCCAACUGAAUGCCACAGCCGGAAAGAAAUAUUUCAAUGUAUAAACAAAAUGCUAUGGAAAGAAUGAGUGUGAUACUCUCUCUCUGUUUAACUUCCCCUCUUGAAGCUUUUCUUUUUUUUUUUUUUUUAACAGAAAGAUUUAUUUCUCUUUUUGCAAAUAAUUAUGCUGCCAUUAUUUUCUUUACCCUAGAGUGUGAGAGAGAGAGAGAAACAAAAACACUUCAACGGCUUUUAUGGUUGUUGUUAUCAGUUUGCACUAAAGGGAAAACAACCCCAUUGGAAACUUUUAAGAGAAACUUUUAGCCCAGCAAUUGAAGGGUCAGCUAUGGUAUUGACUGCAGACAGGUUCAGGCCUCCUCAGGCAAACUGUUGUCUGCGGGAAAGCAGAGCAAAUGUGACCACUAUGCCACCCUCCAAGGACCCCAGGUGUAUUUUGUCUCCAGUCUAAGGCUUGCUUUGUUGUCAAGUGUAAAUACCACAGAGCCCCAGCACUGCAGUGCCUGCUCCAUUGGUGGCCCUGGCAAUCAGAGUGCAGGGACCUUUUCCCUUGCCUGACUGGGAUCAUGCCCCGGGGACAUGUUUGGAAAAUGUCUUUUCCUUCUCCUGAAUAGAUCUGGUAUAUAGUAGAGAAAUUAAAUCCAAGGGAUCUCACAGGAGACUUUGUGGUGUUCGGUUUUAGUAUUCAUCUCCUGAAGUCACCAGGUGAUAAAUCCACUAUACGAGCCUUUAUCCAAAAAACAAUAUGAAUUGUCCUAGAACUGCACCAUACUUUACCAAACAAAAUCUAUGGUCAUCAGGGUGAGAAGCAUCCCACUUUGUACAGCCUCAAAUCUCCAGAGAGAUUCUAAACUUUUGUCAGGACAGAGUCCCAGGAAUUUAUCAUCCCCAUUAAGUAAAAUAUUCAGUAGCUGAUCUCUUGUAAUAGAAACAAUGACUCACCAGUAGCUCUGAGGGGUUUGAUUUUCAAGUCCAGUGGUUUCAUUCAGUGGUCAUGGGCUCCUUAUAGGAAAAAUGGGUCUUCAAGGGAGGAGUCUGGAAUCAAUGUACCUGCUGGAGGUGUGCUGUAGGAUCAUGGCUGCUGCUAAAUCCUUGUUAGGACAGGCUAUAUUGUCUGGAUUGAGUGGGAUCCUUAGCUGCAUUCAUCCUUUGUCUCCUUUGGAGGGUCUUGAGUGCUUGCUAGGGAUAAGCA
This 4172-nucleotide long non-coding RNA is filed under the name Gallus gallus (chicken). The record is from RNAcentral. Lineage: Eukaryota; Metazoa; Chordata; Aves; Galliformes; Phasianidae.